This 990-nucleotide long non-coding RNA is filed under the name Salmo salar (Atlantic salmon). RNAcentral describes it as "lncRNA (ENSSSAG00000090926.1)". Lineage: Eukaryota; Metazoa; Chordata; Actinopteri; Salmoniformes; Salmonidae. The record is from RNAcentral.
GUGAACGGGGUAUGGUGGUAGGUAAACGGGGUAUGGUAGUAGGUGAACGGGGUAUGGUGGUAGGUAAACGGGGUAGUAGGUAAACGGGGUAGUAGGUGAACGGGGUAUGGUAGUAGGUGAACGGGGUAUGGUGGUAGGUGAACGGGUAGUAGGUGAACGGGGUAUGGUGGUAGGUAAACGGGGUAGUAGGUAAACGGGGUAGUAGGUGAACGGGGUAUGGUAGUAGGUGAACGGGGUAUGGUGGUAGGUAAACGGGGUAGUAGGUAAACGGGGUAGUAGGUGAACGGGGUAUGGUAGUAGGUGAACGGGGUAUGGUGGUAGGUGAACGGGUAGUAGGUGAACGGGGUAUGGUGGUAGGUAAACGGGGUAGUAGGUAAACGGGGUAGUAGGUGAACGGGGUAGUAGGUGAACGGGGUAUGGUAGUAGGUGAACGGGGUAGUAGGUGAACGGGGUAUGGUGGUAGGUGAACGGGUAGUAGGUGAACGGGGUAUGGUGGUAGGUAAACGGGGUAGUAGGUAAACGGGGUAGUAGGUGAACGGGGUAGUAGGUGAACGGGGUAUGGUGGUAGGUGAACGGGUAGUAGGUGAACGGGGUAUGGUGGUAGGUGAACGGGGUAUGGUGGUAGGUGAACGGGGUAUGGUAUUAGGUGAACGGGGUAUGGUAUUAGGUGAACGGGGUAUGGUGGUAGGUGAACGGGGUAUGGUGGUAGGUGAACGGGGUAUGGUAUGUAGGUGAACGGGUAUGGUGGUAGGAGAACGGGGUAUGGUGGUAGGGUCACAGGGUAGUAGGUGAACGGGGUAUGGUAAUAGGUGAACGGGGUAUGGUAGUAGGUUAACGGGUAGUAGGUGAACGGGGUAUGGUGGUAGGUGAACGGGGUAUGGUGGUAGGUGAACGGGGUAUGGUGGUAGGUGAACGGGGUAUGGUAGUAGGUGAACGGGGUAUGGUAGUAGGUGAACGGGGUAGUAGGUGAACGGGGUAUGGUAGUAGGUG